GGAGAGGUGGCCGAGUGGUUUAAGGCGCGGCACUGGAAAUGCCGUAUAGAGUGCUCCUCUAUCGAGGGUUCGAAUCCCUCCCUCUCCG
Molecule: transfer RNA, 88 nt
Filed under: Cyanobacteria bacterium SW_9_44_58
Lineage: Bacteria; Bacillati; Cyanobacteriota
Also listed under: 1 other name
Description: tRNA-Ser
Rfam family: tRNA
About the family: Transfer RNA (tRNA) molecules are approximately 80 nucleotides in length. Their secondary structure includes four short double-helical elements and three loops (D, anti-codon, and T loops). Further hydrogen bonds mediate the characteristic L-shaped molecular structure. tRNAs have two regions of fundamental functional importance: the anti-codon, which is responsible for specific mRNA codon recognition, and the 3' end, to which the tRNAs corresponding amino acid is attached (by aminoacyl-tRNA synthetases). tRNAs cope with the degeneracy of the genetic code in two manners: having more than one tRNA (with a specific anti-codon) for a particular amino acid; and 'wobble' base-pairing, i.e. permitting non-standard base-pairing at the 3rd anti-codon position.
Source: RNAcentral